GUUGAGGGGAAUGUCGUCUGGCUCGAGAUGAUCCGUGUCUAGCGCUGUAUUGGUUUAGUUUCAUUCAUGGAUGAUUUCGGACCAGGCUUCAUUCCCCUCAAC
RNAcentral lists this microRNA precursor (102 nucleotides) under Punica granatum (pomegranate). RNAcentral describes it as "mir-166 microRNA precursor family". It matches the Rfam family "mir-166 microRNA precursor family". Rfam says of the family: This family represents the plant microRNA (miRNA) precursor mir-166. Animal miRNAs are transcribed as ~70nt precursors and subsequently processed by the Dicer enzyme to give a ~22nt product. In plants the precursor sequences may be longer, and the carpel factory (caf) enzyme appears to be involved in processing. The record is from Rfam by way of RNAcentral. Lineage: Eukaryota; Viridiplantae; Streptophyta; Magnoliopsida; Myrtales; Lythraceae.